RNAcentral lists this long non-coding RNA (405 nucleotides) under Phasianus colchicus (ring-necked pheasant). Its description in RNAcentral is "lncRNA (ENSPCLG00000001420.1)". The record is from RNAcentral. Lineage: Eukaryota; Metazoa; Chordata; Aves; Galliformes; Phasianidae.
AUGCAUUGGCACAGGCUGCCCAGGGAGGUGGUGGCGUCACCAUCCCUGGAGCUGUUGAAGAACCGUGGAGAUGUGACAAGGAAUGAGCAGUAUUCCUGGACGCAAAAAGGGAGAAUAAUUGACUUUCAGGCUGUAUGUUACAAAUCCACUUUUGUGAUUUUAGUGGUGCCUGUGACAAGAAAGGAAAUGUGGGAAAGGGAGCUGGCUCCAGGAAGGAGUGCCUGGCUAUUUUUCCAGUCAAUAUCUAGUGUGCUGCACAGCAUCCAAGAGAAUUUGCAGAAUCAGAAUUUGGGCUGGAUAUGUGGGAUAUGGACAGAAGAGCAGCUUCAGAAUGACCCGUGUUACUGUGUCACGGAGAAGUGCUGGCUACCAUUGCAAAGUAUCUGCUCUCUUCCAGUACUAUGA